UACGGAGGGUGCGAGCAUUAAUCGGAUUUAUUGGGCGUAAAGGGCGCGUAGGCGGCAAUGCAAGUUGGAAUUGAAAUUCCGGGGCUCAACCUCGGAGCGGGUUCCAAAACUGCAUAGCUAGAGGAUGGUCGGGGAAAGCGGAAUUCCAUGUGUAGCGGUGAAAUGCGUAGAUAUAUGGAAGAACACCGGUGGCGAAGGCGGCUUUCUAGAUCAUACCUGACGCUGAGGCGCGAAAGCGAGGGUAGCAAACAGG
This 253-nucleotide unclassified non-coding RNA is filed under the name uncultured Chlamydiales bacterium. Its description in RNAcentral is "contains 16S-23S intergenic spacer region". It matches the Rfam family "Bacterial small subunit ribosomal RNA", at positions 524 to 776 of the family's 1533-position model. The record is from RNAcentral. Lineage: Bacteria; Pseudomonadati; Chlamydiota; Chlamydiia; Chlamydiales.